This 805-nucleotide long non-coding RNA is filed under the name Homo sapiens (human). RNAcentral describes it as "HSALNT0149808". The record is from RNAcentral. Lineage: Eukaryota; Metazoa; Chordata; Mammalia; Primates; Hominidae.
UGUUAAAUAGGCAGAGCUAAGACUUAGGGGACUGGCAGAUUAUUGCAAAAAGGGCACGGGGCAGAGGGACUAUGUUGUGAGCCUGCGAAAGAAGUUUGUGUGGGGACUGUGGGCAGUGAAUGCGUUGGGAACAAUAUGGAAAACUGGGAGCUGCCUUGGAAUCUACAGGGCCGGACUUCAAUCCAACAGGACCCACUCGAGCCAUCCACACUUUCCCCAGCCUCCUCCAAAACAGCACACUUUCCGGCUGAAGAAAAGAAGAAUGGUAUUCAUGCAGUUCCCAUUUUACAGAUGAAAACAAGAGGACUUUUUCUGUGAAGUCAAGAAAGUGGUUACAAUGGUACUUUCAGCCUGUCCGAAUUAUGUAUUGCCCCUCCCCUUUUUAUUAAUAACAUUGAAGUGUGAUGGGACAACCACUGAAGCCGUCUGUUGAAACCUGCUGGGACUUUUUAGCCAUUCUCUUCAACAUAAAGAAUGGGUGUUUUUGGAGGGGGUGAGAGGAAUGGGGAAAUGUUGUCAAAGAGUACAAUGUUUUAGUUGAGACAGGAGGAAUAUAUUUUGUUGAGAUCUACAGCACAGCAUGGUGACUGUAGUUAACAAUGAAGUAUUGUGUAUUUCAAAAUUGCUAAGACAAUAAAUUUCAAAUGUUCUCACCACAAAAAAGAUAGGUUUUGAGGUGAUGAAUCUAUUAAUUCUCUGGAUUUAAUUAUUCCACAAUGUAUACAUAUAUCAUAACAUCACAUCAUACCUCCGUAAAUACAUACAAUUUUAAUUUGUCAAUUAACAUUUUUUUAAAAGAAUAGUG